GUUAUUUAUUACUAGUAUUUAUCUUCUCGACUUAUACGUUAUUCAAUGGUAUAUUAACUGACAUUAAACAUAAAAUAUAAAAGAUUUAAAUAAUUUAUCCAUGUCAUAAUGACCGCUAUAACAUACCGUGCCAAGCGCUAACUACCAACUUGCCUAUACCUUAUUUUGUUGAGUGAAACCUACAUAGAGGAAAAAUAUAGCCAGGUACCACAAGAAGUAGUUAUACCUGAGCUUUGAGCCAGUGUAAUUAGAUAUCCACUGGCUAUAAACAUCUGUAAGUUCAAAUGGGUGGUAUUGCUACUGUACUGUUUAUCCAGCCAUUUCUGGGGAAGCGACUGCGCACGGAAAUCAAACGCGGAAAAGAAAUUUCACAAACUAUACAAUCAAACAUGGACAAAAUAAUAAUUCAAAACCAAUUCGAAGAAUUAACGAGGAUCCUCUUGAAAAACUGCAGAAAGAAUUAGGAAAGUUCGCUCAUCAUGGAAAAAUUGAAACUUACUAUGACCCAUACUGGCAGAGUGGAGAAUGGGUGUUUUUGAGGAUUACAACGCGCAAAGGGGAUACCCCUCCUGCAACGACCACAUUAAUACCCGGAAUUACUGCAAAAAAAUUUAGGAAAUGGCCGAUGUCUAUAUACCGGGACUGCGAUCUAUUAUGUAUAAAUAUUUAUAAGGAUAAUUAUGGUGCGGUGUGCGCGCAGCGGUACAACACUAUGACAUGGAAAAAUGAGUACAAAUCAUUUAAAAACAUGUGCGAAUUAGAACGAGAGAACUGCAAAUUACCCGAGAAACGACCGAUGUGGUAUCCAAUACACAGAGAGAAAUACUGCGAUGAAUUAUCGACAUUUAAGUUGUUCCCGACAAAUCCAACCUUGAUUUUGCAACGGAAGACUAGCUGGGCUCCCUACGAGUACCUUCGAACGAAGACUACUACCGUACCAGUUUUGUUUUUGACUACAACUGGCAAAAGUAAUUAGUUUUGAUGUUGCGCCAUUCGGGUAUUAUAAAUUGUGUUUUGUAUCGACAUAUCAGUAAACUAUAUGAAGAAAAUCCAGCAUGCCUUACAUGUGAUAAUUAUUAUUGUUUCUACAUGACACUUGAAGUAAUAAUAAAUUAUUUAUAAACACAUAUCGACAGUCAUAAACCUUUACUUUUAUUUAAUCUUGUUAGUAUUUGAUAUUCGUUUAUCAUAAUUCGAUAUGUGAUUACGAUUGGAGCUAUCAAAUGGAUCCGCUAGAAAAUAAAAUGUCCGAUUUAUGUUUGCGAUAAAUCGGACUUGAUGACACCCGUUCCGAUCUUCUGGAACAUCGCAUCGGACCAGUGCAUCCCUAGUGUAUGGA
RNA transcript from Manduca sexta (tobacco hornworm), 1339 nucleotides. RefSeq lists it as uncharacterized. The transcript has 8 exons. NCBI's taxonomy places the organism in Eukaryota, Metazoa, Arthropoda, Insecta, Lepidoptera, Sphingidae. The record is from RefSeq and is a predicted model, not a curated record.